Molecule: ribosomal RNA, 751 nt
Filed under: uncultured crenarchaeote
Lineage: Archaea; Thermoproteati; Thermoproteota
Description: bacterial SSU rRNA
Rfam family: Archaeal small subunit ribosomal RNA
Source: RNAcentral
UACACGUGGCUAAUCUGCCCUUGGGACCGGAACACCCCCGGGAAACUGGGGCUAAUUCUCGAUAGGUGAAGAACUCUGGAAUGAGUCUUUGCCAAAAAGACGUUUACGUUAUGCUCGUAGACGUCGCCCAAGGAUGAGGCCGCGACCGAUCAGGUUGUUGGUGAGGUAAUGGCUCACCAAGCCUUUUACCGGUGCGGGCCGUGAGAGCGGGAGCCCGGAGAUGGGCACUGAGACAAGGGCCCAGGCCCUACGGGGCGCAGCAGUCGCGAAAACUUUGCAAUACACGAAAGUGUGACAGGGCUAUCCCGAGUGCCAUCCGCUGAGGAAGGCUUUUACCCAGUCUAGAACGCUGGGGGAAUAAGGAGAGGGCAAGUCUGGUGUCAGCCGCCGCGGUAAUACCAGCUCUCCGAGUGGUGUGGAUGUUUAUUGGGCCUAAAGCAUCCGUAGCUGGCUGAGUUAGUCCCUUGUUAAAUCCACCGAAUUAAUCGUUGGAUUGCGGGGGAUACUGCUCGGCUAGGGGACGAGAGAGGCAGACGGUAUUUCUGGGGUAGGGGUGAAAUCCUAUAAUCCCAGGAGGACCACCAGUGGCGAAGGCUGUCUGCUAGAACGCGCCCGACGGUGAGGGAUGAAAGCUGGGGGAGCGAACCGGAUUAGAUACCCGGGUAGUCCCAGCUGUAAACGAUGCAGACUAGGUGUUUGGACGGCCACGUGCCGUUCUAGUGCCGCAGGGAAGCUGUUAAGUCUGCCGCCU